RNAcentral lists this long non-coding RNA (814 nucleotides) under Eptatretus burgeri (inshore hagfish). RNAcentral's name for it is "lncRNA (ENSEBUG00000017527.1)". Lineage: Eukaryota; Metazoa; Chordata; Myxini; Myxiniformes; Myxinidae. The record is from RNAcentral.
GGGGGGGGGGGGGGGGGGGGGGGGGGGGGGGGGGGGGGGGGGGGGGGGGAGAUCGGCGAUCUCGCAUCGUCGACGUGGCGCGGAGCCGGAGCGCGCUGAGGAGAACCGCGCACGUGGUGACUUGGGCGGGACCUGGAGUACUGCGCCGCCAUUUCUUGCCGCGCGGGACGUUCGAGCGGGAGUUCGAACCCGUGGAAACCCGCUGGUUUUUACGGGCGACCUUCGUGCUUUUGGGACACGGUCCUCUCGUCCAUGAGCCAUCACCAGGCACAGCCCCCGCUUCAUUCUGAAGCUGUUCCAAAUGAUCCUCUGCCAAUGCCUGAAAUGAAAGGCAAAGCUGAGAGCAGCAUGCAUGAAACAUCGAAGGGCAGAGGCUUCGUUUUCUUCUUUAAUUCAUGUCACUGGAUUCAUGAGUCAUAUUCGCCAUCAUUUUUUGCCUGUGCCAUUUUUAACCUCGCCGGAGGAGAAGGAAACUCUUUGUUCAGAAGCGUUAUCAGUAGCUUCAGACAGAGCAACAGGAGGAGCAGUCUUCCCAGCAUAUUCAGAAGACUCCAGUUAGCAAGAACCCGUUCAAGCACUUCAGCAGUAGAAAUGGCAGAUGGAGGUGCCACCCAGAUGCUCUGAGGAUUUGAUCAGGAUUCUGCUGCUAUAUGUGAGACCAUGAGAUGAGCCAUUGGAGACAUAAAUUGAACCCUCCGCAUGCAGUUUGUUUAAGGAAAGAUUACAUUGUGUCGCCAAAUCUCCAGUGUUCGGUUCCCAUCUCUCAACAAAGCUGCGAGACUAAUCCUUUCCAUGUAACAGCAUGGAGGUUGGG